Molecule: long non-coding RNA, 1410 nt
Filed under: Fukomys damarensis (Damara mole-rat)
Lineage: Eukaryota; Metazoa; Chordata; Mammalia; Rodentia; Bathyergidae
Description: lncRNA (ENSFDAG00000031916.1)
Source: RNAcentral
GUUUCCAGGGGCUGGGGGAGAGAGAGAAGGGUGAAUAGGCAGAGCACAGAGGAUUUCCAGGGCAGCUAAUGGCUCUGCAUGGUACUAUAAUAGUGGCACGUGUCACUAUACGUUUGUCAAAACCCAUAAGGUGGCAACAACUCCUGGCAACACCAGGAGGGAGCUCCGAUACAGAUGUGGAUUCUGGGUGACAAUGAUGUGUCAAUUUAGAUUUAUUGAUCGGAAAACAUGUACCACUUUGGUGAAGGAUGUUGAUCGUGAGUGAGACUGCUUGUGCGGAGGCAGGAGGUGUAUGGAUCUCACCAUGCUUUCUCUGUUUUUCUGUGAACCUAAAAUUAUCUGUUAAAAAUAUCAAACCAACCAAACCAAACCAAAUCAAACCAAAAGCAAAUGAGACCAAGCACCAGCUUACCAAAGCUGGGCGUCAUCUUUGGGAAUGGAGUGGCUGGGGUGGGAAAGAGGUCCUGUGCUGUUCCCAAGUGGGUCAGGGCGGGGAAGCCUCUGUUGACCAUGAAGGCCAACAAAUAAGGAAGCGGCAGGAGGAAGGAAAAUAGACAGGAAAUGAGGGACCAGCCUAGGACAGACGUGUGACCCAGAAGUUGCCAAGAAUAGCGAGAACACCUCAAAUAACAUCAAAGCAUCUCCCACCCGUCUAGUGCUUCCUCCACGCAGGUGAUCUACUAGGCACUCUAUAGGAUUUACUCACUCAAUGCUCACAACAACCCCAGGGGACAGGCAGGGCUGGUAUUAAAAAUAUGCAGAUAUUAGAAUGGCAUGGAGUCCUGAGUCUCCUCUUCUGCCGGGCACCGACCCUUCCGGUGCUGGAUUGUGAGGCGGACAGCUUCGUGGGCAGGGAGGGGCCGAGGUACUGGUGGUGGAGCUCAGUGAAGGGGCAGGGGCUUGACUCAGGGUUCUCACGCCUACACUGUCACAGGAUCACCUGGCUAACUCGAUACAGCGGAUUACUGGGCUCCACCUGCAGCACUGCUGCUUCGGAGAGCGAAGUGCAUGCUGCUGGGAAUGUUUGCUUAUCUCUCUCCGGCAGUGUUCCCCAGAGUCCUGGUCCUGGGCUCUGGCUCCGAGGAGGUUGUGGGUGCUGAGCACCCUUGCCAUGCUGCCUGCAGACUCAGCCCAUCUGCUCCCCAGCGCGCCUUGCCACCCGCAGCCAGACUACACAGGCUGGCUUUGACAAAGUGACAGAAGCUGUAAAAACAGCUGUUUGUCAUUCCCUGCUGCAAAACAAAACAACCAGAAAAAGAGGUUGAGUGAAAUGAAGAAAAGAUAGUUGUUUCAUGUAGAUAAGGAUAUUUUUACUUAUAGAACACUUACUUUCUCUUUUCAUUUCUUUAGUUCCUACUCAACUAUUUCUCUUUUUCUUGCCCUUGCUCCUUCCUUUUUUCCUCCUUCCCC